CCUACGGGGGGCAGCAGUGGGGAAUAUUGGACAAUGGGGGCAACCCUGAUCCAGCCAUGCCGCGUGUGUGAAGAAGGCCCUCGGGUUGUAAAGCACUUUCAGUGAGGAAGAACGCCUGGUGGUUAAUACCCAUCAGGAAAGACAUCACUCACAGAAGAAGCACCGGCUAACUCCGUGCCAGCAGCCGCGGUAAUACGGAGGGUGCGAGCGUUAAUCGGAAUUACUGGGCGUAAAGCGCGCGUAGGUGGCUUGAUAAGCCGGUUGUGAAAGCCCCGGGCUCAACCUGGGAACGGCAUCCGGAACUGUCAAGCUAGAGUGCAGGAGAGGAAGGUAGAAUUCCCGGUGUAGCGGUGAAAUGCGUAGAGAUCGGGAGGAAUACCAGUGGCGAAGGCGGCCUUCUGGACUGACACUGACGCUGAGGUGCGAAAGCGUGGGUAGCAAACAGGAUUAGAUACCCCUGUAGUC
This 465-nucleotide ribosomal RNA is filed under the name Vreelandella stevensii. RNAcentral's name for it is "partial 16S ribosomal RNA". It matches the Rfam family "Bacterial small subunit ribosomal RNA", at positions 338 to 795 of the family's 1533-position model. Lineage: Bacteria; Pseudomonadati; Pseudomonadota; Gammaproteobacteria; Oceanospirillales; Halomonadaceae. The record is from RNAcentral.